CAUUGGAUUACGGAUUCCGGACAUCCUGGUCACGCUUUUUAGAACAAGAUCGCACCAGUCAGGUGACGAUCGAAACACAUACGCUGUUGAGAUGNGNCUUCGGGUACACCGCAGUAAGGCGAAGUACCGCCGUCUACGUUUCUCUUUCUCAAGACAAGGACCACGCUGGUAUGCGUGUCGUUCCAACCCUUAUGGGCCCGUAGCUCAGUCGGUUAGAGCACACGCUUGAUAAGCGUGGGGUCGGUAGUUCNAGUCUACCCGGGCCCACCAUGUUUGAUCCUGGCGCCCUGUGGCGAUUUGGAUUGCUGGUGGCUUGCGGUUGGGUUCGUUGAUCCAGGUUCGCGGCCUUUUGGCUGAUCGGAUUGGGGCUGUAGCUCAGCUGGGAGAGCACCUGCUUUGCAAGCAGGGGGUCAGCGGUUCGAUCCCGCUCAGCUCCACCAUUCCGGCGCUUUGAACAAGCGCCUUUGGUGUUGAAGUUGGCGGAUUGAUUGCCUUGUCUUUUGAGAAAAUAAAGUUUGCAUCGGCCUUACNGGGUUGGAUGCCUGUUCUGAUUACAUUGUGAAGAGAAGAUAUGUCUGGAAGCUUCCAGGUGUUGAAGACGGUCGCGAGGCUGUUUUUGAUGUCCGAGCCCAGUCUCAUCGAAACCAUGGAUGAUCUAGCCGAUCGGACAUGGUGGAGGGACUGGAGGUAGGAAGGAAGCUUGUUACUCAAGGCAUGUUUGUUGUUGGUGAUUUGAACCAUCGGAACUUCGAGGCUUUUAAGGCUUCGGGGAUUUUGGUGUUUCCGGUCAUCUCUGACGGCAUUGUUGAUGGAUGUUGCCUGACCGCGCGUCCCCGGACAGAUCUCGAGAAGCUGGUCUUAAUGAUAUGACUUCGCAGUGCACCGGCGUGCCUGCAAUGAAGAUCAUAUCGAACACGUCGAUGGCAUCUGGAUUUGGUGUGACUGUAAAAGGUAGUCAUGCUGUUGGAUCUGGUCCUGCACACUCACAAGGUGUCCGGAUGGCCAGAUUUGGAACCCCUUCGAGCGCAAGCGAGAAGGAUAGGAAUUCCAAAUCCAACUAAGGAUGAGCAUUGGCAAUGAGAACGAUCAAGUGAAAUAAGGGCAAUUGGUGGAUGCCUUGGCAUGCACAGGCGAUGAAGGACGUGAUACGCUGCGAUAAGCCGUGGGGAGCUGCGAAUGAGC
Molecule: unclassified non-coding RNA, 1182 nt
Filed under: Rhizobium sp. RPA12
Lineage: Bacteria; Pseudomonadati; Pseudomonadota; Alphaproteobacteria; Hyphomicrobiales; Rhizobiaceae
Description: partial miscellaneous RNA
Rfam family: tRNA (bases 194-267)
Source: RNAcentral